Molecule: ribosomal RNA, 386 nt
Filed under: uncultured bacterium
Lineage: Bacteria
Description: bacterial SSU rRNA
Rfam family: Bacterial small subunit ribosomal RNA
Source: RNAcentral
GACGAACGCUGGCGGCGUGCUUAACACAUGCAAGUCGAGCGGUAAGGCCCUUUCGGGGGUACACGAGCGGCGAACGGGUGAGUAACACGUGGGUGACCUGCCCUCAGCUCUGGGAUAAGCCUGGGAAACCGGGUCUAAUACCGGAUAUGACUCCAUGACGCAUGUUGUGGGGUGGAAAGCCUUGUGCGGCUGAGGAUGGGCCCGCGGCCUAUCAGCUUGUUGGUGGGGUGAUGGCCUACCAAGGCGACGACGGGUAGCCGGCCUGAGAGGGCGACCGGCCACACUGGGACUGAGACACGGCCCAGACUCCUACGGGAGGCAGCAGUGGGGAAUCUUGCGCAAUGGGCGAAAGCCUGACGCAGCGACGCCGCGUGGGGAAGAAGGCC